Molecule: ribosomal RNA, 476 nt
Filed under: Harposporium sp. INBio2959G
Lineage: Eukaryota; Fungi; Ascomycota; Sordariomycetes; Hypocreales; Ophiocordycipitaceae
Description: eukaryotic LSU rRNA
Rfam family: 5.8S ribosomal RNA (bases 152-305)
Source: RNAcentral
ACUCCAACCCUGUGAACCUACCUCGACGUUGCUUCGGCGGGCCGCCCCGGGCCCCCGCGCCCAGCGAUCGCGCGGCGCCCCGGAACCAGGCGCCCGCCGGAGGCCCCAAACUCUGUCUUCUGUAUUAUUCUGGGUACCACGAAUGAAUCAAAACUUUCAACAACGGAUCUCUUGGUUCUGGCAUCGAUGAAGAACGCAGCGAAAUGCGAUAAGUAAUGUGAAUUGCAGAAUUCAGUGAAUCAUCGAAUCUUUGAACGCACAUUGCGCCCGCCAGCAUUCUGGCGGGCAUGCCUGCCCGAGCGUCAUUUCGACCCUCAGCGCCGCCCUCUCGCGGCCUGGUGUUGGGGUGCCGGCGAAUCCGCCGCCCCCGAAAUGCAGUGGCGACCACGCCGCGGCCUCCCCUGCGCAGUAGCACACUCUCGCACCGGAGCGCGGACGCGGUCACGCCGUAAAAGAAAAACUCCUUUCCAGAGUGA